GAUGAACGCUGGCGGCGUGCCUAAUACAUGCAAGUCGAACGCACAGCGAAAGGUGCUUGCACCUCUCAAGUGAGUGGCGAACGGGUGAGUAACACGUGGACAACCUGCCUCAAGGCUGGGGAUAACAUUUGGAAACAGAUGCUAAUACCGAAUAAAACUUAGUGUCGCAUGACACAAAGUUAAAAGGCGCUUUGGUGUCACCUAGAGAUGGAUCCGCGGUGCAUUAGUUAGUUGGGGGGGUAAAGGCCUACCAAGACAAUGAUGCAUAGCCGAGUUGAGAGACUGAUCGGCCACAUUGGGACUGAGACACGGCCCAAACUCCUACGGGAGGCUGCAGUAGGGAAUCUUCCACAAUGGGCGAAAGCCUGAUGGAGCAACGCCGCGUGUGUGAUGAAGGCUUUCGGGUCGUAAAGCACUGUUGUAUGGGAAGAACAGCUAGAAUAGGGAAUGAUUUUAGUUUGACGGUACCAUACCAGAAAGGGACGGCUAAAUACGUGCCAGCAGCCGCAGUAA
RNAcentral lists this ribosomal RNA (513 nucleotides) under uncultured bacterium. RNAcentral describes it as "partial 16S ribosomal RNA". It matches the Rfam family "Bacterial small subunit ribosomal RNA", at positions 28 to 523 of the family's 1533-position model. The record is from RNAcentral.